RNAcentral lists this ribosomal RNA (421 nucleotides) under uncultured bacterium. RNAcentral describes it as "partial 16S ribosomal RNA". It matches the Rfam family "Bacterial small subunit ribosomal RNA", at positions 360 to 773 of the family's 1533-position model. The record is from RNAcentral.
AAUAUUGGACAAUGGGGGCAACCCCGAUCCAGCCACGCCGCGUGGGUGAAGAAGGUAUUCGUAUUGUAAAGCACCUUAAGCAGCGAAGAAGAAUCCAUGGUUAAUACCCAUGGACGAUGACAUUAGCUGCAGAAUAAGCACCGGCUAACUCUGUGCCAGCAGCCGCGGUAAUACAGAGGGUGCAAGCGUUAAUCGGAAUUACUGGGCGUAAAGAGCGCGUAGGUGGAUUGUUGAGUUGGAAGUGAAAGCCCCGGGCUCAACCUGGGAACUGCUUGCAAAACUGGCAAGCUAGAGUACGGUAGGGGGUAGUGGAAUUUCCUGUGUAGCGGUGAAAGGCGUAGAUAUAGGAAGGAACACCAGUGGCGAAGGCGACUACCUGGACUGAUACUGACACUGAGGUGCGAAAGCGUGGGGAGCAAAC